CAAGAGACGAGCCGCGACGAGACUAACGUAAACUAGCAGAGCAAUGGGGACAUAGGAAAGAGAGCGAGACAGGUAUCAGAGAGCAAGACAGGCAUCAGAGAGCAUGACAGGCAUCAGAGAGCAUGACAGGCAUCUGAGGGUAAGGCAGGAAUCCGAGACUAAGACAGGCAUCAGAGAGCAAAACAGGCAACACAGAGUGAGACAGGUAGCAGACUCACCUGGACAGGUAGACUCUCACAGUCGUGGUUCAUUAGGAGGACAAACUGUUGACAGGAGGAUCAGCAGCACAAAGCUGAAAUCCUUUUCAUGAACAGGAUCACACACACCUGGGUUUAUAUGAGUUUGACCAACACCUGGUUCAGUGAAUUGGACAAGGACCAGAUUCAGUGAGUUGGACCCAGAACAGGUUCAGUGUAUCAGACCAGGACAAGGUUCAGUGAGUCGGAAGAGGACCAGGUCCAGGGAAUCGGAAGACGACUAGGUCCAGUGAGUCGGAAGAGGACCAGGUUCACAGGACCAGGUACAGUGCGAGGUUUCCUGUGACCAGGGAGUGGCAGCUGUUUCUUCUUUUGCUGUUUUGACAGAACAGGAAGUGUUUGUGGUUGAGUGAAGAAGAAUGAAGUUUAUCUUUGAAGAGACGAGAACCAGACCUACGAGUCCGGACCUGAGAGCCAGAGACAGUCAGUAAGGGAGGGGGAUGCUGACUCACCAAGGGUGUCUACCUGUUGGACCAGGUCUGACUGACCAAGCUGGACCAGGUCUAACAAUGUGGAUGAGGCCUGACUGAAGUAUUUAAAAAGAAAAAGUAAUCAUGUUAUUCUACACUUUUGUUUAUAAUUUAAUUGUAUUAUUAUAUUUUUGUUUAACUUCAAAAGUAAACCAAACAGGAAAAAAGUUGUUACAUUUUAAAUUAUGAAAUGUUUCACUUAAAACAAACAAUUCCAGGUAAAAAAAAUACAAAAUACAAGAUUUCUCUGGUUGUCAAUGGAAAACAUUUGGCCGAUCACAGUCCAGUGGGCGGGGCUAGGUGUCGGUCCUGCAUCUGAAACAGACACCCAAUAAAAU
Long non-coding RNA from Gasterosteus aculeatus aculeatus (three-spined stickleback), 1065 nucleotides. The record is from Ensembl. NCBI's taxonomy places the organism in Eukaryota, Metazoa, Chordata, Actinopteri, Perciformes, Gasterosteidae.